CUGGCUCAGGAUGAACGCUGGCGGCGUGCCUAAUACAUGCAAGUCGAGCGAACGGACGAGAAGCUUGCUUCUCUGAUGUUAGCGGCGGACGGGUGAGUAACACGUGGAUAACCUACCUAUAAGACUGGGAUAACUUCGGGAAACCGGAGCUAAUACCGGAUAAUAUUUUGAACCGCAUGGUUCAAAAGUGAAAGACGGUCUUGCUGUCACUUAUAGAUGGAUCCGCGCUGCAUUAGCUAGUUGGUAAGGUAACGGCUUACCAAGGCAACGAUGCAUAGCCGACCUGAGAGGGUGAUCGGCCACACUGGAACUGAGACACGGUCCAGACUCCUACGGGAGGCAGCAGUAGGGAAUCUUCCGCAAUGGGCGAAAGCCUGACGGAGCAACGCCGCGUGAGUGAUGAAGGUCUUCGGAUCGUAAAACUCUGUUAUUAGGGAAGAACAUAUGUGUAAGUAACUGUGCACAUCUUGA
This 471-nucleotide ribosomal RNA is filed under the name Staphylococcus aureus. RNAcentral's name for it is "bacterial SSU rRNA". It matches the Rfam family "Bacterial small subunit ribosomal RNA", at positions 19 to 472 of the family's 1533-position model. Lineage: Bacteria; Bacillati; Bacillota; Bacilli; Caryophanales; Staphylococcaceae. The record is from RNAcentral.